AUGUAUUUUUGGUUGGAACUAGAGGUACGAAGAAUGGACUGUGUUGGUUUAGUGUUUAAAUUUGGGAUGCAGAGAAGUCACUGGACACAUCUGUAUCAGAUAUCAGAUUUGGAGGUCACAUUAAAUUUAAAAGAAUUUAAUAGUAGUGCUGGUCGGGGAAUAAGACCUUUCUUAUUUGCUGAUAGGUUGAUGAAGGGCCCCCUCUCAUCCAACCUAGGCUCUUCCAAAAUGCCUCCAAUGAUGAAGGGCAUGCUGAUCUCUUUUCUCCAGAAAACCAGCUGAGCUCAGUGGCCAGGCAUGGGCUUUGGAAUCAGAGACCUGAAUUGAGAAUUUGACUUUAUAAAUUUCUGCUUGCUUUUGGGCAGUUUACCUCUCUGCCUCUUUUUCUUUAAAAAAAAGUAUAUCCUAGAGUUGCUCUGAGGUUUAGUGAGCUCUGAUGCCUGUCAAGGCCCUUGGCACAGUGCCUAACCAGGGUAAUUACAUUUAUUAAGGACUGACUUCCCAGCCUUGAAUGAAGGCACUUUAGUGACAGAUUAAUGGAUGCCACAUUCUCUUGCCUCACCUGGGCAGUUUGCAUUUAUAGUAAUCUCCAGACCACUGCUAUCUUGUCAGUUAAUGAGGUUUCUGACUGGACUUUGGCUGGUUUGGCUGUUUUCCAGAGCCUAUCCCUUGUUCAGUAAGCUUUGUUAAGCAAUCUGUUGUGUGUCUUGAGUUCUACAAGGCAUGAUAUAUCUUGUUCUAGCUUCUGCCCUAAGAAAACUCACAGUGUGGGAGGGGCGGCAGACGGUAAACAGACAAAACACCAUGAGGAAGGUGCUAUGGGAGAUCAUCAGAGUACUGUGAAAGUACUGACAGGGCGUCUCACCGAGACUGGAAGUGGAGGAUGGCCAGGAGGGCUUCUCUGAGGAGAUGGUGCUUAAGCUGGGUGUAAAAGAUGAGUAGGAGUUAACCACGUGGGGAUGGUGAGGAAGGGCUUUCCAGGCAGGGGAAGCAGCUUAUGAAAAGGCCGAGAGGAGUAAGAAAGUGUGCUGAAUUCAGAGAAUUGCAGAGUCAGUGCAGGAUGUUAGCUGAGUUUAUGGCAUGAGGGAAGAUGAAGCUGGGAGGAUGAGCAGGGGCCAGUAAAGAACCUACUUGAUUGCAGGGCUGUUGAAUUUAGAUUUUGUUCUGAGCAGUUUGUACCAUUUAAGGAUUUUAAGUAUGGAUGACAGAUGAUAUUUAUAUUUCAAAAAAAUUUUUUUCUGGCAGCAUUGUGGAGGAGAAUUGGAGGGUAUAAGCAUGGAAGCAGAGUUCACUUAGAGCAUGUAAACCUUUUUGGGCCAUGGAUCCCUUUGGCAGUCUGGUGGACCCCUUCUCAGAAUAAUGCAUGAAAUAAAAAACUGAUGAUUUCAAAGGAAACUAGUGAG
This 1403-nucleotide long non-coding RNA is filed under the name Sus scrofa (pig). RNAcentral's name for it is "lncRNA (ENSSSCG00015015857.1)". The record is from RNAcentral. Lineage: Eukaryota; Metazoa; Chordata; Mammalia; Artiodactyla; Suidae.